RNAcentral lists this ribosomal RNA (1359 nucleotides) under Clavibacter michiganensis. RNAcentral describes it as "bacterial SSU rRNA". It matches the Rfam family "Bacterial small subunit ribosomal RNA", at positions 67 to 1443 of the family's 1533-position model. Lineage: Bacteria; Bacillati; Actinomycetota; Actinomycetes; Micrococcales; Microbacteriaceae. The record is from RNAcentral.
CGGUGUGUCAGAGCUGCUCUGGCGGAUCAGUGGCGAACGGGUGAGUAACACGUGAGUAACCUGCCCCCGACUCUGGGAUAACUGCUAGAAAUGGUAGCUAAUACCGGAUAUGACGAUUGGCCGCAUGGUCUGGUCGUGGAAAGAAUUUCGGUUGGGGAUGGACGCGCGGCCUAUCAGGUUGUUGGUGAGGUAAUGGCUCACCAAGCCUACGACGGGUAGCCGGCCUGAGAGGGUGACCGGCCACACUGGGACUGAGACACGGCCCAGACUCCUACGGGAGGCAGCAGUGGGGAAUAUUGCACAAUGGGCGAAAGCCUGAUGCAGCAACGCCGCGUGAGGGAUGACGGCCUUCGGGUUGUAAACCUCUUUUAGUAGGGAAGAAGCGAAAGUGACGGUACCUGCAGAAAAAGCACCGGCUAACUACGUGCCAGCAGCCGCGGUAAUACGUAGGGUGCAAGCGUUGUCCGGAAUUAUUGGGCGUAAAGAGCUCGUAGGCGGUUUGUCGCGUCUGCUGUGAAAUCCCGAGGCUCAACCUCGGGUCUGCAGUGGGUACGGGCAGACUAGAGUGCGGUAGGGGAGAUUGGAAUUCCUGGUGUAGCGGUGGAAUGCGCAGAUAUCAGGAGGAACACCGAUGGCGAAGGCAGAUCUCUGGGCCGUAACUGACGCUGAGGAGCGAAAGCAUGGGGAGCGAACAGGAUUAGAUACCCUGGUAGUCCAUGCCGUAAACGUUGGGAACUAGAUGUGGGGACCAUUCCACGGUCUCCGUGUCGCAGCUAACGCAUUAAGUUCCCCGCCUGGGGAGUACGGCCGCAAGGCUAAAACUCAAAGGAAUUGACGGGGGCCCGCACAAGCGGCGGAGCAUGCGGAUUAAUUCGAUGCAACGCGAAGAACCUUACCAAGGCUUGACAUAUACCGGAAACAUGCAGAAAUGUGUGCCCCGCAAGGUCGGUAUACAGGUGGUGCAUGGUUGUCGUCAGCUCGUGUCGUGAGAUGUUGGGUUAAGUCCCGCAACGAGCGCAACCCUCGUUCUAUGUUGCCAGCACGUAAUGGUGGGAACUCAUAGGAGACUGCCGGGGUCAACUCGGAGGAAGGUGGGGAUGACGUCAAAUCAUCAUGCCCCUUAUGUCUUGGGCUUCACGCAUGCUACAAUGGCCGGUACAAAGGGCUGCGAUACCGUAAGGUGGAGCGAAUCCCAAAAAGCCGGUCUCAGUUCGGAUUGAGGUCUGCAACUCGACUCAUGAAGUCGGAGUCGCUAGUAAUCGCAGAUCAGCAACGCUGCGGUGAAUACGUUCCCGGGCUUGUACACACCGCCCGUCAAGUCAUGAAAGUCGGUAACACCCGAGCCAGUGGCCUACCGCA